CCUACGGGAGGCAGCAGUGAGGAAUAUUGGUCAAUGGACGCGAGUCUGAACCAGCCAAGUAGCGUGAAGGAUGACUGCCCUAUGGGUUGUAAACUUCUUUUAUAUGGGAAUAAAAUGUUCCACGUGUGGGAUUUUGUAUGUACCAUAUGAAUAAGGAUCGGCUAACUCCGUGCCAGCAGCCGCGGUAAUACGGAGGAUCCGAGCGUUAUCCGGAUUUAUUGGGUUUAAAGGGAGCGUAGGUGGAUUGUUAAGUCAGUUGUGAAAGUUUGCGGCUCAACCGUAAAAGUGCAGUUGAAACUGGCAGUCUUGAGUACAGUAGAGGUGGGCGGAAUUCGUGGUGUAGCGGUGAAAUGCUGAGAUAUCACGAAGAACUCCGAUUGCGAAGGCAGUUCACUGGACUGCAACUGACACUGAGGCUCGAAAGUGUGGGUAUCAAACAGGAUUAGAUACCCCAGUAGUC
This 460-nucleotide ribosomal RNA is filed under the name uncultured bacterium. RNAcentral's name for it is "partial 16S ribosomal RNA". It matches the Rfam family "Bacterial small subunit ribosomal RNA", at positions 338 to 795 of the family's 1533-position model. The record is from RNAcentral.